Molecule: ribosomal RNA, 492 nt
Filed under: uncultured bacterium
Lineage: Bacteria
Description: partial 16S ribosomal RNA
Rfam family: Bacterial small subunit ribosomal RNA
Source: RNAcentral
AGUGAACGCUGGCGGUAGGCCUAACACAUGCAAGUCGAACGGCAGCACAGUAAGAGCUUGCUCUUACGGGUGGCGAGUGGCGGACGGGUGAGGAAUACAUCGGAAUCUACUUUUUCGUGGGGGAUAACGUAGGGAAACUUACGCUAAUACCGCAUACGACCUACGGGUGAAAGCAGGGGAUCUUCGGACCUUGCGCGAUUGAAUGAGCCGAUGUCGGAUUAGCUAGUUGGCGGGGUAAAGGCCCACCAAGGCGACGAUCCGUAGCUGGUCUGAGAGGAUGAUCAGCCACACUGGAACUGAGACACGGUCCAGACUCCUACGGGAGGCAGCAGUGGGGAAUAUUGGACAAUGGGCGCAAGCCUGAUCCAGCCAUACCGCGUGGGUGAAGAAGGCCUUCGGGUUGUAAAGCCCUUUUGUUGGGAAAGAAAAGCAGUAGGUUAAUACCCCGCUGUUUUGACGGUACCCAAAGAAUAAGCACCGGCUAACUUCGUG